UACGUAGGGAGCAAGCGUUGUCCGGAAUCAUUAGGCGUAAAGCGCGCGUAGGUGGCCCCAUAAGUCCGCUGUGAAAGUCAAAGGCUCAACCUUUGAAAGCCGGUGGAUACUGUGGGACUAGAGUACGGAAGAGGCGAGUGGAAUUCCUGGUGUAGCGGUGGAAUGCGCAGAUAUCAGGAGGAACACCAAUAGCGAAGGCAGCUCGCUGGGACGUUACUGACACUGAGGCGCGAAAGCGUGGGGAGCGAACAGG
RNAcentral lists this ribosomal RNA (253 nucleotides) under uncultured bacterium. Its description in RNAcentral is "partial 16S ribosomal RNA". It matches the Rfam family "Bacterial small subunit ribosomal RNA", at positions 524 to 776 of the family's 1533-position model. The record is from RNAcentral.